AACCUGGUUGAUCCUGCCAGUAGUCAUAUGCUUGUCUCAAAGACUAAGCCAUGCAUGUCUAAGUAUAAAUGGUAUACAGUAAAACUGCGAAUGGCUCAUUAAAACAGUUAUAGUUUAUUUGGUAAUCGGAUUUACAUGGAUAACCGUGGUAAUUCUAGAGCUAAUACAUGCUGUAAAGCCCGACUUCUCGGAAGGGCCGUGUUUAUUAGAUAACAGACCAACAGCUUCGGCUAUUGUGGUGAAUCAUAGUAACUAAUCGGAUCGCAUGGGCUAGUCCCGCGACAAACCAUUCAAGUUUCUGCCCCAUCAGCUUUCGACGGUAGUGUAUUGGACUACCGUGGCUUUUACGGGUAACGGAGGAUUAGGGUUCGAUUCCGGAGAGGGAGCCUGAGAAACGGCUACCACAUCUAAGGAAGGCAGCAGGCGCGUAAAUUACCCAAUUCUGAUUCAGAGAGGUAGUGACAAGAAAUAACGGGUCGGGACUUUGUCCCGGGACUGCAAUGAGAUGAACUUAUACCCCUUUUCGAGUAACAAUUGGAGGGCAAGUCUGGUGCCAGCAGCCGCGGUAAUUCCAGCUCCAAUAGCGUAUAUUAAAGUUGUUGCAGUUAAAAGCUCGUAGU
This 620-nucleotide ribosomal RNA is filed under the name uncultured marine eukaryote. RNAcentral's name for it is "SSU rRNA". It matches the Rfam family "Eukaryotic small subunit ribosomal RNA", at positions 1 to 634 of the family's 1831-position model. The record is from RNAcentral.